Molecule: transfer RNA, 70 nt
Filed under: Betta simplex
Lineage: Eukaryota; Metazoa; Chordata; Actinopteri; Anabantiformes; Osphronemidae
Description: tRNA-Cys
Rfam family: tRNA
About the family: Transfer RNA (tRNA) molecules are approximately 80 nucleotides in length. Their secondary structure includes four short double-helical elements and three loops (D, anti-codon, and T loops).
Source: RNAcentral
AGCCCCGGGGUGUAAUAUAACACAUUAGAUUGCAAAUCUGAAGUAGCCGGCUACUUCCCGGCCGGGGCUU